CAGUUAAUGAACUGAACCCAUGGUGGAGGUUGGAUCUCGAAACGAGUCAAUGCGUCGAGACAAUUCGAAUUUGGCCUACUGCACAUGAGGCCACUUUGCAGCGUGCAUCUCUACGUGCAGGUCUGAGUGAUAAUCAUACGAGUAAUGUGAAGUGUAAAACCAGUAAACCCCAACCUUCACCCAACGACUUUACGGAGUUUACCUGUCAUCCGCCUGUACUUGCCCGCUAUGUCAGCGUCGAUAUACCCGGAUUGGCAAGCCUUGGACUGUGCGAGGUGACAGUAGCUGCGUGUGAUUUCAAUCAAAAAGUUAACUCUGUGGAUUUCACUGUGGUUGUCAACCCUGCUCUCAUUGGUCCAACUGGUGAUGACGAUUCGGUCAUCGCAGUGUACAGAGAACCAGACGAUUUUGCCUCCAAUGUCUCAUUUGGUCGCCAAGUCACAACUGGACUUCCAUCAGGUUCAGGCGAGAUAGUGGAUUCAUCGUUGGGAUGUACAGUGAGAUUGCUUCGAUUGCCAGAGGAAGGAGGUCUGAACAGGACGGGUGUGUUCUACGCAGAGGUGACCAAGAAUAACGUAAUCACCAGGAUACAGAGCGUUGUUCUACCAAACGAUGGUAAUA
Long non-coding RNA from Acanthaster planci (crown-of-thorns starfish), 621 nucleotides. NCBI's taxonomy places the organism in Eukaryota, Metazoa, Echinodermata, Asteroidea, Valvatida, Acanthasteridae. The record is from RefSeq and is a predicted model, not a curated record.